GGAGAGGUGGCAGAGUGGUCGAAUGUACCUGACUCGAAAUCAGUCGAUGUCGCAAGGCAUCCGUGGGUUCGAAUCCCACCCUCUCCGCCA
RNAcentral lists this transfer RNA (90 nucleotides) under Sulfuritalea sp. RNAcentral describes it as "tRNA-Ser". It matches the Rfam family "tRNA". From Rfam's summary of the family: Transfer RNA (tRNA) molecules are approximately 80 nucleotides in length. The record is from RNAcentral. Lineage: Bacteria; Pseudomonadati; Pseudomonadota; Betaproteobacteria; Nitrosomonadales; Sterolibacteriaceae.